CUGGCUCAGGACGAACGCUGGCGGCGUGCCUAACACAUGCAAGUCGAGCGAUUGAGAGGUGAGAGGUGAGAGGUUAGAAGUGAGAUUAAGAAGGCUUUGGCAAAGCCAAAGCCAACAAUAAAUCUCACAUCUCGCUUCUCACAUCUCACCUCUCAAUAGCGGCGGACGGGUGAGUAA
RNAcentral lists this ribosomal RNA (177 nucleotides) under Desulfofundulus thermosubterraneus DSM 16057. RNAcentral describes it as "16S rRNA. Bacterial SSU". It matches the Rfam family "Bacterial small subunit ribosomal RNA", at positions 19 to 113 of the family's 1533-position model. Lineage: Bacteria; Bacillati; Bacillota; Clostridia; Eubacteriales; Peptococcaceae. The record is from RNAcentral.